Molecule: long non-coding RNA, 2102 nt
Organism: Astatotilapia calliptera (eastern happy)
Lineage: Eukaryota; Metazoa; Chordata; Actinopteri; Cichliformes; Cichlidae
Source: Ensembl
CAGGUCAACAGCACAUGAGGUACAGAAGGUCGGAGGGACUCGUUGAGCGAUGUGGUCCUUUUGUGGAAUGGAUAGAUCUAAAGAUAAAAGACAAGUUUAAAAUGCCGGUGACUCAGCCGGGGUGUUGUCAAAUAAAUUGGGACGACACCUCUUUGGUCCCAGCAGAUGCUACGUGCUUCGUUAUGGCGAGCUCCGGUGAAGCUCUUCCUGUGCUGUGACUAAUUAUGACCCAGACUCAGAGUGUCUCCUCAGCUCCGGCCAGGAUAAACUCUAACCUCUGUGACAUCACGGCCAAAUCCCUUCACCGCACUGCAAAAACUACCUGCAAAGAGCCCAAAGCAAUUACUUGGAUUCCAACCUCCCCAGAUUCCAAUCUGCAGAAUGUGCCGAAACAAGCCUGAUCCAUGGAGCAUCCACCCAGCAACCUACAGGACCCAAAGGAUCUGCUGAAAGGAACAUUCCAGAGCCACAUAUCAAAGGACACCUCACCUCGAAGGGCCCUGUGUCGACACCACAAGGCCUCAGAGACGUUUUCAGAACCUGAAUCUGAUUUUGUUUCGCCAAGCAUGUUGCACAAACAAGGAAUUCUGUUCCAGCUGUUGGUGUGCACAAAGAUCUGGUGACAGAAGUGAAGCCUGGGAGAUAUUCAACCCACCUAAAAAGGUUGAUUUGUGGUCCACUACUCUCAGGCUUGAAAUGGGAUGUUCUUCUGUAAUAACCUGCCCACCACAAGAUGACGCAGGAUGAAAAAAAAAGAACUGGGUCUGCACAAAUGAGAUUUUCUCUGAUCCACUGAGUCAAAAUGAUACAUUUGCACUGUAACCAUUAAGUUAAGACAUGGCUGAUAAUAAAAUGAUAUUGUUGUUGGCACUAGGCAGAAAAUGUUAUCCAUCUUGACCACCAUUAAUCGUGUUAAUUUGUGUCUAAAAAGUAAAUAAAAGUCCCAGACUGAAGCAAUGUUAGACUUCUUAAUUUGCCAUUUCUCACAUUCAAAUGAUAGUGAGGAUCAAGCAUUUUGCUAAUUAUCACAUCAAGUUUGAAAUGCUUGUAUAGGGAUAAUCACAUUCAGUUAUAUGUAAAGAAUAUAGGUUCUACUUCUUUUUAAAUAAAAAUCAUGAGAGGGAGGGCAUCACCUCUGUCACACCAAACUUCUCACAAGAAAGUGAAAAAAUUGUUUUAACAAAAGUCUACAAUUGUAGCAUCUUAUGUUGUGGCGCAUUAACCUAUGCAAAGGAGGUUGUGUGCUUAGUAGCAUUUGCAUGCAUGCAUGUCCUGCUGUCUGUAAACCUAAUAUCUUGACAUUUUGAAUAAAUUCUCAUAUCAUUUUGUAGGGGUGCAUAGUGGGAUCAUGUUAACAAUCCAUAUAAACUUGGUUUACAUCCAUUAAGGACUUCAAGGCCAACUUAAUGAUUUACUUAAACUAUAUUUCAAGGAUAUCAACAGGACCUGGAAAAACUAGUCCAUGCAUUCAUUUUUAGUAGGCUUGAUUAUUGUAACAGCAUCUUUACAGGUCUAGCUAAAAAAAUCAGUCAGACAACUACAGCUCAUUCAGAACUCUGCUGCUCGAGUCCUCACUAAGACCAAAGAAGUGGACCACAUCGGUCCAGCUCUGAGGUCUUUACACUGGCUGCCUGUCCGUCAGAGGAUAGACUUUAAAGUUCUGAUGCUGGUCUAUAAAGCUCUGAAUGGUUUAGGACCAAAAUACAUCAGUGACCUCCUGACCCAGUAUGAACCUUCCAGAUCCCUCAGGCCAUCUGGAUCCGUUUUUUUAUUAGUUCCCAGAGUCAGAACCAGACAGCUGCAUUCAGCUUUUAUGCUCCUUAUAUCUGGAACAAACUCCCAGAAAGCCUCAGAUCAGCUGAAAAAUUCAGUUUAUUUAAAUCCAGGUUGAAGACUCACCUGUUCUCAGCUGCAUUGUGCUUUAUUCAAAUGCAAAUCCGCACUGUUUUACUUUUAAGCUUAAAUUUCAAAACUUACAUUUUAACUACUGAUUUUAUCUACUGUUCCUUUCUUUUUUUUUUUUCAUUUUAAAUGCUUUUUAUUUGCGUUUAUUUUUUAAUGUCUCUGUAAAGCUUGUUGUUGAAUUGUGCUAUAUAAAUAAA